This 463-nucleotide ribosomal RNA is filed under the name uncultured Actinomycetes bacterium. Its description in RNAcentral is "bacterial SSU rRNA". It matches the Rfam family "Bacterial small subunit ribosomal RNA", at positions 28 to 506 of the family's 1533-position model. The record is from RNAcentral. Lineage: Bacteria; Bacillati; Actinomycetota; Actinomycetes.
GACGAACGCUGGCGGCGUGCUUAACACAUGCAAGUCGAACGAUGAAGUUCCUUCGGGAAUGGAUUAGUGGCGAACGGGUGAGGAACACGUGAGAGACCUGCCCAUCAUUCUGGGAUAACACCGGGAAACCGGUGCUAAUACCGGAUACUCCAUCGCGGCGGCAUCGCUGCGCUGGGAAAGAAUUUCGAUGAUGGAUGGUCUCGCGGCCUAUCAGCUUGUUGGUGAGGUAAUGGCUCACCAAGGCGACGACGGGUAGCCGGCCUGAGAGGGCGACCGGCCACACUGGGACUGAGACACGGCCCAGACUCCUACGGGAGGCAGCAGUGGGGAAUAUUGGGCAAUGGACGCAAGUCUGACCCAGCGACGCCGCGUGAGGGAUGAAGGCCUUCGGGUUGUAAACCUCUUUCAGUGGGGAAGAAGCGAAAGUGACGGUACCCAAAGAAGAAGCACCGGCUAACUAUGU